UGGGGAAUCUUGCGCAAUGCGCGAAAGCGUGACGCAGCAACGCCGCGUGAGGGAAGAAGGCUCUCGGGUUGUAAACCUCUUUCAGUUGGGACGAAGCUUCGUCGGUGAAUAGCCGACCGGAGUGACGGUACCUUCAGAAGAAGCCCCGGCUAACUACGUGCCAGCAGCCGCGGUAAUACGUAGGGGGCAAGCGUUGUCCGGAAUCAUUGGGCGUAAAGCGCGUGUAGGCGGCUCGGUAAGUCCGCUCUGAAAGCCCGGGGCUCAACCCCGGGAGGCGGGUGGAUACUGUCGAGCUAGAGUCCGGAAGAGGCGAGUGGAAUUCCUGGUGUAGCGGUGAAAUGCGCAGAUAUCAGGAGGAACACCAAUUGCGAAGGCAGCUCGCUGGGACGGUACUGACGCUGAGACGCGAAAGCGUGGGGAGCAAACAG
This 428-nucleotide ribosomal RNA is filed under the name uncultured bacterium. RNAcentral's name for it is "bacterial SSU rRNA". It matches the Rfam family "Bacterial small subunit ribosomal RNA", at positions 355 to 775 of the family's 1533-position model. The record is from RNAcentral.